ACCUAGUGAUGUGGGCAUUUGUGCAAGAGGUCCCUAAAGCGCUCCCAAGUCUUGAAAAAUAGUUCUACAUCCACUUGUGAGAAACUAGUGAUGGCCUUCCUCAGUU
Small nucleolar RNA from Malania oleifera, 106 nucleotides. The record is from RefSeq and is a predicted model, not a curated record. NCBI's taxonomy places the organism in Eukaryota, Viridiplantae, Streptophyta, Magnoliopsida, Santalales, Ximeniaceae.